This 2344-nucleotide long non-coding RNA is filed under the name Equus caballus (horse). RNAcentral's name for it is "lncRNA (ENSECAG00000053944.1)". Lineage: Eukaryota; Metazoa; Chordata; Mammalia; Perissodactyla; Equidae. The record is from RNAcentral.
GGAAAAUCUUGUUUUUUCCUUCCUCUUCUGUUGCUAUGAUCCUCAGAUGCAGAGGGCUCUCUUUAAAAGACGCUGGGGGGCAAUUCCUUUAUGCACAUGUGGGCAUCUCUGCAUCUGGCAAGGCUGGAGCCAGGCCAUGGAGGUCUGGAAGAGGGACCACACAGGCCAGGCAGGGGACCACCAGGGAUGCCCUGCUAGUUGGUCUCGGCACCUCUCCAAUGCCGCCCUCAGGACUACUGGGAGAAGACUCAGGACACAGAAGUGAAGGGAAAAGGGAGGGUCACUGUCACGCAGGGGCAGAAGCUAGAGCCAUGGAGUGGGUGAGCUCCUCAUCCCAUCUGUCUCUCGUCCAAUGUGAGGCUCACUGAGAGCAGAGUGCGCAGCAGCUCCAGGCUGAUUCAGGGCCACUGCAGAAGGGCGUCCAGUGAGAGGCCCCAGAUAGAGAGAACAGACAACACACUCUGCUGGGAGCAGUGUCUCCUUGCUUGAGUGCAGGCCACAUAGCACAUCAUGAAGAUGGAAGAUUCCAGAAAGAGUGAGGGAUGCAGGAGAAGCCUGCUAGGGGAGGCCAAUCUCGUUUCCACACCUGCCCUGGGCACCUUUGAAACCCCUGGAUGUAGCAGCUUGGGCGGUGGACCCCCUGGGGCAUCCAUGCAUCUUUAUUGUUAGUAAUCCUGCUCUCACUACUCCUUCAAAGUUACCCCCUCCAUCUGCUCCAUUGCUCCUAAGAACAGCUUCUUUAUCCAGCUCAACACACCUUUCCUGUUUCUCUGUUUACAGGAGAGAGACUAGGAAGGGAGGGGGCAGGGCACAGAAGACCUAGCCUAGGGUUUCUUUUAUUGAGUUCUGCCAUGUGUCAGAGCAGGGACCCAACUAGCUAGGGUCAUAGUCCAGACUAGCAUGUUGAACUCCCAACAUAUAGCUGAAUAAUUUAUACGCUUUUUACUUGUUUUUGCCGUUUUCUGAUAGUAGUUGGCAUUUACUGACUUCUGUCUAUAAGUUUGGCCCCUUGCUGGGCACCCCGCAUGCACAAUCCCUUUUCAGUCUCUUGUAUUGAGAUAUAUUUUAUGCACAGCAAAAGUGCGAACAUCUUAAGUAUAGAGUUUGGUGAGUUUUGACAAAUGUAUACACCCAUGUACCCAUCACCCCCAAACAGGAAUAGAGGACAUUUCCAUCCCCCCAAAAGUUCCCUUGUGCCUCUUUCUAUUCACCAUCCUUACCCCACCCUCACAUGAAAGUAACCACUGCUCUGAUUUCUGUCGCCACAGGUUCGUUUGCCUGUUCUAGAACUUACGAAUGGAAGUUUUGCUUUUUCACAUCUGGCUUUUUUCACUCUGUGUAGUGUUUAUGACAUUUCUCCAGGUAUAGCAGGAGCCACUCCAUUUAAUUCCUGCCUAAUAUUCUGUUGUCGGAAUAUACCGCACUCUGUUUAUCCUUCAUCUGUUGAUGGACAUGUGGGUUGUUGUCAAGUUCUGGUGAUUACGAACAAGCCUGCUACGAGCUGUCAUGUACGAGGCUUUUUAUAGACAUAAGUCUUGGGGAAAUACCUAGGAGUGGAAUUGUUGGGUCAUAUGCUAAGUAUAUUUUUAACUUUAUAAGCAACUGCCAAACUGUUUUUCCAAGUGGUUGUGUCAUUUUUGUACUCCCACCCUGAGUGCGUGAGAGUUCCAACUGCUCCACAUCGUCACCAACACUUGGUAUUGACAGUCUUUUCAUUGCGGCCAUUCUAGUGGGUGUGAAAUGGUAUCUCGUGAUUUGCGUUUCCCUGACGACAAAUGUCAUUGAUCACCUUUUCAUGUUCUUAGUGUCUAUAUCUUCUUUUGUGAAGUGUCUGUUUAUGCGUUUGGGCAGGGGAAAUGUUUGUCUUAUUAUUGAGUUGCAAGAGUUCUCAACGUGUUCUGGGUACGAGUCCCCUGUCAGCUCUAUGUGCUGCAAAGGUUUCCUUCCAGUCUGUGCCAGCCCUGUCCCUUUUGAUGCUUGCAGGAACCCUAGGAAGUGGAUGUUAUUAUCUCUGCUUUGUUUUAGAAAGUCAGAAUCUGAAGCAAAGAGAGGUUAAGUGAAAAGCCCAAAGUCACACAGCUACUCAGUAGCAGAGUGGGAAUGCAGACCCAUUGGUGUAUGACUCAGAGCUUUGACAUCCAGAACAUCCCAGAGAGUGUCUCUCCACACAUGAAGCCUUGUAUCUCCCUGGCAGCCUCGAGAUGCGUGGUCCUCAAGUCAGGGCCCAGGCUGGGUUAUUUCAGUUCACACUCACUCCCUCUGCCUCGCACAUACCAGACCAUCCUGGGAAGUGGCUGGCUCCCAGAACCCAGCUGGGAGAACCGUCUUCUCAGGAGGAUGCCAC